UUCAUUAUGAGGGCGUUGGAUUUUUCUACUACAAAAGGCAGUGAAAUUACUAUUGUUAGACACACAAAAACAAAUACUUGAAAAACAAUCUCUAUUCACUAUAUAUCAUCGUCUUUUAUAUUUUUGGCAAUUGAUAAGGGUUUGUUUUUUUCUUUUCUUGCGAUUGUGCCCAUAGAAGGAGAUUCGAGUACGAUAUAUAAGAAUUUUAUCAUAGAGUCAUGCAAUGUCGAAAGUACCGGCACGAAAGGGAUGCCACAUGACUUUAUGGCAGCGUUUAUUGCGACUCUCUUGUGCUAGCGUUUCUAGCUCCAUUCUCAUAUUUAUGUUAUUUUAUUCAUGCUUGUAGUUGAUAUUUUAUUACAUAAAUCACAUAAUUUUCAUAAUAGAUCACACAUGUAAUACCUCCACCUAGCACUCCACUAUAUAGACUCUAGUCAUAUCGUCCUUUUUACGAGGUGACGAAGCUCGAC
This 470-nucleotide long non-coding RNA is filed under the name Olea europaea subsp. europaea. The record is from RNAcentral. Lineage: Eukaryota; Viridiplantae; Streptophyta; Magnoliopsida; Lamiales; Oleaceae.